AACAAUGAUCUAGCUACUGACAGCGGAGGUUCUUCUCCAGUUAAUGAGGAACCAGACCUGCAAACAAAGAUCAAAUCACUGGAAAGUAGACUUGCCGAGGUUCUGGAGGAAAAUAGCAUGUAUAGGACACAGCUGAAGAGUCCCAUGCCAGAGGGGCAAUCUGGGAGCAAGGACGGCGAGGAGAAUAAUGAUGAUAAAAUAGCACAACUGGAGUCAGAACUAAAGGACAUGCAGGACCGCUUACUCAACGUAAGCAUGCAGUAUGCGGAAGUAGAGGCUCAGCGGGAGGAAUUAGUGAUGGAGCUUAAAAACGCAAAUGCAAAGAAAGGGCGGUGGUUCUAGCAAUUAGUGACAGAGCUCAAAACCUACUGGGUGCCAUAGUUAUGAGGGCUACAGGUCCCAGCACAGUGAAGGAAGCCAUUUGUUUUCGGAAUCAAGGGCAGGAGCUCUGUCAUUCAUAUCAAGAAAACACACCGUCCACAAAAGGGAAAAGAAACAUAUCCUGGAAGAAUGUUGUAAAAAAUGGCAGAGGCGUCCAGAUCCUUGGGGCUGCCAUCAUGUUAACUAGGCAAAUGCACCAAGAACUAAGGCUCUCCAAUCCGAGACACAAAUGGAACGACGACUAUUCUCAGAACCUGGGAUUCCCUGAUACAUAUCGGACACGUUCUGAACUUUCGACACUAUGUGACUGUAUGGGUUAGAGUGAUAACUCAUGUUCAUAUGACCACACGGAUCACCCUGCCUUUUACAUCACAGACAACAUAGCUGUUGAUUGAUGUAGCUCCUCCUGUGGACUGUGCCUGAAAAACGGAUUAGAUAGAUGGUAUACAGUAGUUCAUCUCUCUCUUCAAAGAACUUGUAGGUGACUCUUCGUUGACCUAUACAUAUGAUUCGUAUUUGUCUAUGUAAUCCCUUCACGUGCCCAGAGUCCACGUUCUUUUU
This is a long non-coding RNA of Setaria italica (foxtail millet), 942 nucleotides long. RefSeq lists it as uncharacterized. NCBI's taxonomy places the organism in Eukaryota, Viridiplantae, Streptophyta, Magnoliopsida, Poales, Poaceae. The record is from RefSeq and is a predicted model, not a curated record. The transcript has 4 exons.